UGUCACGCCCCGCGACCAACCGCCUAUUUGAACCGGGCCGCGGAGCCGACAACAGACCGCCGAACGGACCGGGGAUUCCUUUGUACGCGGACAGAGUCUCCCCAGUACGUCCAAGGCGUCGCAAUCCAAACAAUAUAGAUAUGUUCCAACCAGGAACGGAUAUCAAUCAAGAUUGCAUAAGGAAGUAUCAAAUACAUAAACUACUAGCUUUUACAAGCAUUCAUUCACUUUUACAUCACAGUUCCUAUUUACAUUUUGUUUUUCCUUGUCUUCUAGUCCCCUAAGCUAGACUGCCUCAGGGUACUUCUACCUCGGUCUCUGUGGUGGGGCGCUAUCUACUGAGCUACGCCCUCGCCUCGCGCCGCUGCGCCGCACACGAACGACCUGAAAACCCCAAAACAACGUGGGGUGAGAACCAACUCCAUGGUUCCCAGUGGGUACGGCCACCCAAGGGAAAAGCUCGACCGAUAGGUCCGAGGAGGCACUGCAACAUGUUAGUUCAACAAUAUACAACAGAUAUAUAUAUUCAAUUGAAAUACAUGCCAUGCCUCACGAUAUGCGAUAUGAAAAUCAUGCAGCAACUAGUAGAUCAUUUGAAUUCUACUUUUACUUGGCUACUUUAGCUCAUAACUUUACUCUAAGGUUUCUAUUACCUUAGGAUUACAACACUAACCACUGGCUUCUAAGGUUUCUAUUACCUUAGCUCAAGCCUCUAUCUCUAGCUCAUAAGGGUUUCUCUACCCUAUCAUAGCUAACCACCCGACUCGGCUUCGAGUCAAUCAUCCGCGGAUAGCCCGCGCUCCGGCUGCUCAGUCAGCCUACCGCACUCACUCUGACUCAGCCUCCUAGCGGCGAAAUCGUCGCACACGCUGAAUACGGCUCGAGUCACAAGACUUGACCAUCGGUGGCGAUCGCGUUGCACAUACCCAGCGUGAGCUCGAGACAUGACAUACCGUCUGGCGGCGAACGGGUCGCACCACACCCAACAACGAUCAUGUCAGACUCAGUCACCUGGAGGCACCCGCAUCGUACUUACCCAGCAUGGAUUCAGUCUACUCUGGCGGUCUGAUCCUCAAAUGGCUUAACCACUCUGGCGGCGAAAUCGUCGCACAAACGCCAGCACAAUGGUUCAAGCCCCGGGCGGUGAUCUCCAUGUGAUCGCCCCCAAUCUACCCACGGUACCAAGCUCGGCGGCGAAAUCGUCGCACGAACGCCCUAGCCUGUACCAGGGACAUCAUAAGUCCUGGGAUUCCGGAAUCCACUUACCACAGGUCGAGGGUUCAUAGCCAACCCUAUACUGUCGACCUAGCUCAAUCUAGUGGCUAUACCACUAUACUCAUCAACCUAGGUUCCAACACUCUAGGUUCUAUGUCCACAUCACUUAACCUAGAUACACUUGCUAGGUUCUUAUCAUCUUUGCCUAGAUGUCCACUUCUAGGUUUAUUAGUUCAACCUAGGUUUACUAACACUAGGUUAGAUGCCACACACCUAGAUUGUUCAACUCUAGGUUUACUAACCAACCUAUGUUCUUUAACACUAGGUUAGAUGCCACUCGAUCUACCUGACAACUUAGUUGUCCAGUCAUCUCUACUCGUCCUAGAGUUAUCAUCUGGUUUAUAUACAUAUACCAUGCAUCAUGCUUUGUACUUAGCAAUUACUCUUUGCAUCAUUACUAACAUGCAUCCCUUACUUAGCAUCCUCAUCAU
This 1706-nucleotide long non-coding RNA is filed under the name Ananas comosus (pineapple). Its description in RNAcentral is "long non-coding RNA (ACOM_LNC034845)". Lineage: Eukaryota; Viridiplantae; Streptophyta; Magnoliopsida; Poales; Bromeliaceae. The record is from RNAcentral.